This 441-nucleotide ribosomal RNA is filed under the name Candidozyma auris. RNAcentral's name for it is "[Candida] auris partial large subunit ribosomal RNA". It matches the Rfam family "Eukaryotic large subunit ribosomal RNA", at positions 104 to 555 of the family's 3401-position model. Lineage: Eukaryota; Fungi; Ascomycota; Pichiomycetes; Serinales; Metschnikowiaceae. The record is from RNAcentral.
GAGCUCAACUUUGGAAUCGCUCCGGCGAGUUGUAGUCUGGAGGUGGCCACCACGAGGUGUUCUAGCAGCAGGCAAGUCCUUUGGAACAAGGCGCCAGCGAGGGUGACAGCCCCGUACCUGCUUUUGCUAGUGCUUCCUGUGGCCCACCGACGAGUCGAGUUGUUUGGGAAUGCAGCUCUAAGUGGGUGGUAAAUUCCAUCUAAGGCUAAAUAUUGGCGAGAGACCGAUAGCGAACAAGUACAGUGAUGGAAAGAUGAAAAGCACUUUGAAAAGAGAGUGAAACAGUACGUGAAAUUGUUGAAAGGGAAGGGCUUGCACCCAGACACGGUUUCGGCCGGGCCAGCAUCAAGUAGAACGGGGUUAAAAGACCUGGGGAAUGUAGCUACCUCUUGGUAGUGUUAUAGCCCUUGGGUGAUGACCCCUGUUUUGCUUGAGGACAGC